RNAcentral lists this ribosomal RNA (420 nucleotides) under Bacillus subtilis subsp. subtilis. RNAcentral describes it as "bacterial SSU rRNA". It matches the Rfam family "Bacterial small subunit ribosomal RNA", at positions 82 to 487 of the family's 1533-position model. The record is from RNAcentral. Lineage: Bacteria; Bacillati; Bacillota; Bacilli; Caryophanales; Bacillaceae.
GCUCCUGAUGUUAGCGGCGGACGGGUGAGUAACACGUGGGUAACCUGCCUGUAAGACUGGGAUAACUCCGGGAAACCGGGGCUAAUACCGGAUGCUUGUUUGAACCGCAUGGUUCAAACAUAAAAGGUGGCUUCGGCUACCACUUACAGAUGGACCCGCGGCGCAUUAGCUAGUUGGUGAGGUAACGGCUCACCAAGGCGACGAUGCGUAGCCGACCUGAGAGGGUGAUCGGCCACACUGGGACUGAGACACGGCCCAGACUCCUACGGGAGGCAGCAGUAGGGAAUCUUCCGCAAUGGACGAAAGUCUGACGGAGCAACGCCGCGUGAGUGAUGAAGGUUUUCGGAUCGUAAAGCUCUGUUGUUAGGGAAGAACAAGUGCCGUUCAAAUAGGGCGGCACCUUGACGGUACCUAACCAGA